Molecule: ribosomal RNA, 236 nt
Filed under: Escherichia coli
Lineage: Bacteria; Pseudomonadati; Pseudomonadota; Gammaproteobacteria; Enterobacterales; Enterobacteriaceae
Description: partial 23S ribosomal RNA
Rfam family: Bacterial large subunit ribosomal RNA
Source: RNAcentral
CCAUCAUUUAAAGAAAGCGUAAUAGCUCACUGGUCGAGUCGGCCUGCGCGGAAGAUGUAACGGGGCUAAACCAUGCACCGAAGCUGCGGCAGCGACGCUUAUGCGUUGUUGGGUAGGGGAGCGUUCUGUAAGCCUGUGAAGGUGUGCUGUGAGGCAUGCUGGAGGUAUCAGAAGUGCGAAUGCUGACAUAAGUAACGAUAAAGCGGGUGAAAAGCCCGCUCGCCGGAAGACCAAGG